UAGGGAAUAUUGGACAAUGGGGGCAACCCUGAUCCAGCCAUGCCGCGUGAGUGAAGAAGGCCCUCGGGUUGUAAAGCUCUUUUGUCCGGAAAGAAAAGCAUUCGGUGAAUACCCGGAUGUUCUGACGGUACCGGAAGAAUAAGCACCGGCUAACUACGUGCCAGCAGCCGCGGUAAUACGUAGGGUGCGAGCGUUAAUCGGAAUUACUGGGCGUAAAGCGUGCGCAGGCGGUUUUGUAAGACAGAGGUGAAAUCCCCGGGCUCAACCUGGGAACUGCCUUUGUGACUGCAAGGCUGGAGUGCGGCAGAGGGGGAUGGAAUUCCGCGUGUAGCAGUGAAAUGCGUAGAUAUGCGGAGGAACACCGAUGGCGAAGGCAAUCCCCUGGGCCUGCACUGACGCUCAUGCACGAAAGCGUGGGGAGCAAACA
This 427-nucleotide ribosomal RNA is filed under the name uncultured bacterium. Its description in RNAcentral is "bacterial SSU rRNA". It matches the Rfam family "Bacterial small subunit ribosomal RNA", at positions 355 to 774 of the family's 1533-position model. The record is from RNAcentral.